This 253-nucleotide ribosomal RNA is filed under the name uncultured bacterium. Its description in RNAcentral is "partial 16S ribosomal RNA". It matches the Rfam family "Bacterial small subunit ribosomal RNA", at positions 524 to 776 of the family's 1533-position model. The record is from RNAcentral.
UACGUAGGUUCCGAGCGUUGUCCGGAAUUACUGGGCGUAAAGAGCUCGUAGGUGGUUUGUCGCGUUGUUCGUGAAAACUCACAGCUCAACUGUGGGCGUGCGGGCGAUACGGGCAGACUGGAGUACUGCAGGGGAGACUGGAAUUCCUGGUGUAGCGGUGGAAUGCGCAGAUAUCAGGAGGAACACCGGUGGCGAAGGCGGCUACCUGGACAGAAACUGACGCUGAGGCGCGAAAGCUAGGGGAGCAAACAGG